Molecule: ribosomal RNA, 301 nt
Filed under: uncultured bacterium
Lineage: Bacteria
Description: partial 16S ribosomal RNA
Rfam family: Bacterial small subunit ribosomal RNA
Source: RNAcentral
CAGCAGCCACGGUAACACGAAGGGGGCUAGCGUUGCUCGGAAUGACUGGGCGUAAAGGGCGCGUAGGCGGAUGGCACAGUCAGAUGUGAAAUUCCCGGGCUUAACCUGGGGGCUGCAUUUGAUACGUGUUGUCUAGAGUGAGGAAGAGGGUCGUGGAAUUCCCAGUGUAGAGGUGAAAUUCGUAGAUAUUGGGAAGAACACCGGUGGCGAAGGCGGCGACCUGGUCCUUUACUGACGCUGAGGCGCGAAAGCGUGAGGAGCAAACAGGAUUAGAUACCCCGGUAGUCCCUGUCUCUUAUAC